GGGAAAAUAAUGAUAUUACCUUAUUAUUAGUGUCGUCCAAAACUGGUGCCAGAAGACUCGGUAAGGCCAGAGACACAAACGUUAAUCGUCUUAAUCAGGCGUAAAGGGUUUGUAGGCGGCUUUAAAAUUUACUAAAAAAAAUAAUUAAAAUAAGUAAAGAAUAAAAGCUAGAAUCAAAUAGAGGAUAUAUGAAAGAAUGCUUAGAGUAGGUCUGAUAUCUUUAGAUACUAAGUAGAAUAUUAAAGGCGAAAGCUUUUUUCCAUUAAUGAUUGACGCUCAGAAACGAAGGUGAGGAUAGGAGAUAGGAUUAGAUACCCAGAAUACCCCUCUCUGUCAACGAUGAAUGGUAAUUAUUAGUAAAAAUUUUAUUAAUAGUAAUGUUAACACGAUAACCAUUCCGCCUUGUGAGUACAACUGCAAAGUUGAAAACAAAAAAAUUAUUCGGUUUCGGAGCAAACGAAGUGAAGCAUGUAUUUAA
This 478-nucleotide ribosomal RNA is filed under the name Russula velenovskyi. Its description in RNAcentral is "partial 12S small subunit ribosomal RNA". It matches the Rfam family "Bacterial small subunit ribosomal RNA", at positions 442 to 948 of the family's 1533-position model. Lineage: Eukaryota; Fungi; Basidiomycota; Agaricomycetes; Russulales; Russulaceae. The record is from RNAcentral.